UGGGGAAUAUUGGACAAUGGGGGCAACCCUGAUCCAGCCAUGCCGCGUGAAUGAUGAAGGCCUUCGGGUUGUAAAGUUCUUUUGGCGGGGACGAUGAUGACUGUACCCGCAGAAUAAGCUCCGGCUAACUUCGUGCCAGCAGCCGCGGUAAUACGAAGGGAGCAAGCGUUGUUCGGAAUUACUGGGCGUAAAGGGCGCGUAGGCGGUUUAACAAGUCAGGCGUGAAAGCCCCGGGCUCAACCCGGGAAUAGCGUUUGAGACUGUUUUUCUAAGAGUUCGGAAGAGGUAAGUGGAAUUCCCAAUGUAGCAGUGAAAUGCGUAGAUAUUGGGAAGAACACCAGUGGCGAAGGCGGCUUACUGGUCCGACACUGACGCUGAGGCGCGAAAGCGUGGGGAGCAAACAGGAUUAGAUACCCAUGUAGUCCCUGAGCGGGCUGGCAAGGCGCAU
Molecule: ribosomal RNA, 448 nt
Filed under: uncultured bacterium
Lineage: Bacteria
Description: bacterial SSU rRNA
Rfam family: Bacterial small subunit ribosomal RNA
Source: RNAcentral